Molecule: ribosomal RNA, 465 nt
Filed under: uncultured bacterium
Lineage: Bacteria
Description: partial 16S ribosomal RNA
Rfam family: Bacterial small subunit ribosomal RNA
Source: RNAcentral
CCUACGGGAGACAGCAGUAGGGAAUCUUCCACAAUGGGCGAAAGCCUGAUGGAGCAACGCCGCGUGGGUGAAGAAGGUCUUCGGAUCGUAAAACCCUGUUGUUAGAGAAGAAAGUGCGUGAGAGUAACUGUUCACGUUUCGACGGUAUCUAACCAGAAAGCCACGGCUAACUACGUGCCAGCAGCCGCGGUAAUACGUAGGUGGCAAGCGUUAUCCGGAUUUAUUUGGCGUAAAGGGAACGCAGGCGGUCUUUUAAGUCUGAUGUGAAAGCCUUCGGCUUAACCGGAGUAGUGCAUUGGAAACUGGGAGACUUGAGUGCAGAAGAGGAGAGUGGAACUCCAUGUGUAGCAGUGAAAUGCGUAGAUAUAUGGAAGAACACCAGUGGCGAAAGCGGCUCUCUGGUCUGUAACUGACGCUGAGGUUCGAAAGCGUGGGUAGCAAACAGGAUUAGAUACCCGGGUAGUC